RNAcentral lists this ribosomal RNA (468 nucleotides) under uncultured bacterium. RNAcentral describes it as "partial 16S ribosomal RNA". It matches the Rfam family "Bacterial small subunit ribosomal RNA", at positions 28 to 507 of the family's 1533-position model. The record is from RNAcentral.
GACGAACGCUGGCGGCGUGCUUAACACAUGCAAGUCGAACGGAAAGGCCCUGCUUUUGUGGGGUGCUCGAGUGGCGAACGGGUGAGUAACACGUGAGUAACCUGCCCUUGACUUUGGGAUAACUUCAGGAAACUGGGGCUAAUACCGGAUAGGAGCUCCUGCUGCAUGGUGGGGGUUGGAAAGUUUCGGCGGUUGGGGAUGGACUCGCGGCUUAUCAGCUUGUUGGUGGGGUAGUGGCUUACCAAGGCUUUGACGGGUAGCCGGCCUGAGAGGGUGACCGGCCACAUUGGGACUGAGAUACGGCCCAGACUCCUACGGGAGGCAGCAGUGGGGAAUAUUGCACAAUGGGCGGAAGCCUGAUGCAGCAACGCCGCGUGCGGGAUGACGGCCUUCGGGUUGUAAACCGCCUUCGCCUGUGACGAAGCGUGAGUGACGGUAAUGGGUAAAGAAGCACCGGCUAACUACGAG